This 23234-nucleotide long non-coding RNA is filed under the name Capsicum annuum. Its description in RNAcentral is "long non-coding RNA (CANN_LNC009925)". Lineage: Eukaryota; Viridiplantae; Streptophyta; Magnoliopsida; Solanales; Solanaceae. The record is from RNAcentral.
UGGUACAAGGCGCAUGGAAUCAUCGAUACAUGCAACGAGGAUGAUGGUUCACGGUCUGGUGCAUCGUCAGCAGAAUGUAGAUUGACCGUUAUAGGAACUCUGGAUUUGUCAGGUGCACCAGCUUUCGAGCUCGAGGAAAAUGUGCAACCUGCAAGUGUGUCGGUUGGUUUCCCUACUGUUGAAAGUGUGACGGAUGUCAUAGAGAUGCAACCUGUGGUAAGAAGAGUGAGAUUUGCCAUUGAUAACGAAUCAGAAGUGGAUUCAUGGGGGGAAAUGGACGCUCAGCUGCAGGAGGAGCUAGAAGAUUUGUAUGCAGCACAACAAGCAGGGACAGCAUUCGUACUAGGACAUUCACACGUGAAAGCAAAGCAAGGAUCAUCUAUGUUGAAGAGGUUGGCUAUCAAUUAUGGUUAUAAUUUCCUUAGGAGGAAUUGCAGAGGUGCAGAUGUAUCCCUCAAGGUUCCUCCAGCAUCCCUUCUUGAAGUUGGCAUGGUUUACAUUGUUUAAGUUGUAAUACCAUCUCACUUUGCUCGUAUAGCUCUGUAUCUUAGUAGAACGAUCUUAUUUAGAGAGGUAAAUGUAAUUAUGCAGAUUACUGAAUUUAUCAUUUUGAUCUCUUACCUAUUCAUUUUGAUGCAUCAUUCUCGAAAUAGAAUUACAGAGAAUAUAAAAACAGCGCAAAUAUAAGAAAAAAAGGGCAGCUCGGUGCAUUAAAGCUCUCACUAUGCGCAGGGUACAGGGAAGGUCCUACCACAAGGGUGUGAUCUACGCAGUUUUACCUUGCAAUUUUGCUACUAAAAAAUGAAUUCUUAUCCCUCAAUUUUGUGGUAAUAAAUUAAGAUAUGUAGAAAGUAUCCAAAUUUCUUUUAAUCUUGUAAUCUUAAUCAUGUCAAGUGGAAAGUUAGAAUUAAAGUGUUGUCAAAAUGAAAAGACAUCCUUUUUUGUGAAUUUGACUCAACAAAAUUAACACAAACAAAUUAAAAUGUAGGAAUACUCUUUAUCGAUUUUAUUCAAAGAAAGCCUGUGCACCCUUCAAUCACCUGCUAUACCGACUUAAAGUACCUGCGUACCCUUGUAAAGAAUCAAGCAGAAGGGAAAAAUUUACGCCUGCAAUUGUGUCGGUUGUGUUCCCUACAGUUGAAAGUGUGACGGAUGUCAUAGAGAUGCAACCUGUGGUAAGAAGAGUGAGAUUUGCCAUUGAUAACGAAUCAGAAGUGGAUUCAUGGGGGGAAAUGGACGCUCAGCUGCAGGAGGAGCUAGAAGAUUUGUAUGCAGCACAACAAGCAGGGACAGCAUUCGUACUAGGACAUUCACACGUGAAAGCAAAGCAAGGAUCAUCUAUGUUGAAGAGGUUGGCUAUCAAUUAUGGUUAUAAUUUCCUUAGGAGGAAUUGCAGAGGUGCAGAUGUAUCCCUCAAGGUUCCUCCAGCAUCCCUUCUUGAAGUUGGCAUGGUUUACAUUGUUUAAGUUGUAAUACCAUCUCACUUUGCUCGUAUAGCUCUGUAUCUUAGUAGAACGAUCUUAUUUAGAGAGGUAAAUGUAAUUAUGCAGAUUACUGAAUUUAUCAUUUUGAUCUCUUACCUAUUCAUUUUGAUGCAUCAUUCUCGAAAUAGAAUUACAGAGAAUAUAAAAACAGCGCAAAUAUAAGAAAAAAAGGGCAGCUCGGUGCAUUAAAGCUCUCACUAUGCGCAGGGUACAGGGAAGGUCCUACCACAAGGGUGUGAUCUACGCAGUUUUACCUUGCAAUUUUGCUACUAAAAAAUGAAUUCUUAUCCCUCAAUUUUGUGGUAAUAAAUUAAGAUAUGUAGAAAGUAUCCAAAUUUCUUUUAAUCUUGUAAUCUUAAUCAUGUCAAGUGGAAAGUUAGAAUUAAAGUGUUGUCAAAAUGAAAAGACAUCCUUUUUUGUGAAUUUGACUCAACAAAAUUAACACAAACAAAUUAAAAUGUAGGAAUACUCUUUAUCGAUUUUAUUCAAAGAAAGCCUGUGCACCCUUCAAUCACCUGCUAUACCGACUUAAAGUACCUGCGUACCCUUGUAAAGAAUCAAGCAGAAGGGAAAAAUUUACCAAUGGUCGUUUUUUGGCAUGAUUUGAAUCGUGAUUACUGAGAUUGUUUCUCCAACUCUUGGACCAAUAAGUCAAGUCACAGCCCUUGCACAAAUCACAUACUUAUCCUGCACUUAAUAAUUGUCUCAGAGUCGUUAAAAAUAGAAAUGAGGCGCUAAAUAUUUUAGAUCCGUUGAAUGGCUCAUGAUUCUGACCGGAAGAACGUUGAACAAUCAAUAAGAGACGCAAAAUUCAUAUACCACAUGAAAGGCGAGCGGUCAAAGAUUCUCGCCACUUGUAAAUGGCCCCAUCAACUGAAAAAUAGUCAUUAAAUAGAUACUUUUUAUUAUUUAAGAAUUUUGUUUUUAAAUAAAAAUUUCAUUUUAUGUUGGAAUUAUACCAAAAAUUGAAGAUUAGAGAGAAAUUCUUCGACACAAAUUAGACGGUAACUAUGACAAGAAAAGGCAAGAGCAUAUAACUUUAAAUCACAGGAGGAUGUUGGAAAUAAUAAUUUAAAGUUAAAGUAGGAAUCUCAAUUCUUUUAGGAUUAAAUAUUUUUGAUAUUUAUUUAAUUCAUGUCAAAUUAGGAUUAAGAUUUAUUUGUCCGAUAAGUUUUGCAGUCCUAAUUUAAUUUGGUUAUGUCCUUUUAUAAAUAGGGGUGUUUGCUACAUAUUUUCUCAGGUUGUGAAGUAGCUCUCAUAUAGUAGAAAUUCAAGAGUUUUUGAGUUAUUGAAUAAAGUCUCCUACUUCUUGUCUCUUAUUUAAUUUUCUUCUAUUUAGUCAUUGUUGGAUCCUUCACUUGUGCUUAUAUCAUAAAGAAAUAAAAUCACUCAAAGAAAUAAUAUAAGCACAAGUGAAAGACCCAACAAUAUAUAUAUACAUAUAUAUAUAUAUAUAUAUAUAUAUAUAUAUAAAGGAGAAUGAUAGAUCUGCUGACAUGACGCUCUCUAAGGUCUACAAUCCUAUUUAUUUAUUUUUUGUGGAUUUUUUGAAUUUUUCCUCAUGCUAAAAUUAAUUUAUUGUACAUUUUAAAAUAAAAGCUACUCUCUUAAUUCUUUUAUUUACACCUCUUAAUUAUUAUAAUUAUAAUUUUUCAUCUCUUCUAUAAUCGUUACCUAUUCUUCACUGGGAUAUAACUAAAUAUUGUAUACAAAGAGAACCAAAAGAAUGACUAGAGCAGGUCAUUACACAUUUUGUUUCACUUUGAAUUGAACGUGGCACCCAUAUUUUUUUCAUCACUAUCCCUAAACACAUUUUUAACUUUCUUAUCUUUGAAAUCUAAUUAGUUCCUCUUAGAGAUUCCUUUCAAUUUUCUUUAUAAUCCAAUAUAUGUUGAGAGAUUAUCAACAUAAUUUAUUUUUAGUUUAAUUUAUAAUUUUAUUAAUCAAUCAAAAUAAAAUUCACACAAUAAUGGACCAACCUAUCCUAAAUAGUUCAACGGUAAAAGAAAAUAAAAAUAAAAAAUAAACAAAAGAAUUAGACCGGUCCAUCAGAUGACCCGACCCAAAAAAACAACAUAUAUCUAGAGUAGGGUUUCCUAAUCCGAGCUCAGUAUUGAGCUUCACUCUUCUCGCCUCUUUCCAUCAUGUUUCAUUUUGAGAAUCAAUAAUUCUUUCUGCUUCAGCUGUGGUACUGAAUUCCGUGCCUUGCUUGUACUUGCUUAGAGGUUCUUCCAGCUUGCAUAAGUAUCCCCCUUCCAUUUGAUUGCUGCUACUGAUAGUUGUACUUUGGUCCUAAUUUUGUACCUUUCUACCUAGUAUCGCAGUUGUGUUCUCUAAUGUAUGAGUACAUACUGUGGUUUUUGGUGCUAAAUCAAAGGGUCUAGUCAGCUUAGACUUGUUCCUUCUUCCAAGUGAGUUGAAUUCUCUAUUACCUUUACUAACUGAUUUAUAGAUUGUAAUUCUUGACCUAUCCUUCUUUAAACUGCAGAUAUGAAUGGUAUCGAGAUUGUGGGAUGCUCGGAACCACAUGUAUUUGGAAAGUAACAAGUAACUUAGCCGCCUGAAGUUAACAUCUGAUAUUGUGACCCCCCCAAAUUGCUGAGAGUCCUUUUUUGUUGGCUGGUGUAGUUAUGGUAAGUAUCAAUUUCACCUUUUUGAUUACCUUCUCAGGUUGUACAUAUAGUGCAUAUGAAAAACCUUGCUUUAGCUAACCCAGUCCCUUUACCCUUUUGAUGGUGAUAACCUCAAAUAUCGACAUUAUUGCUUAUCACUAUUAAGUAUUUUCCUGCCUGCACUUGUUAACUAUUUGAAUGCUGUAUAUAUGAACUCCUCUUGUUCCAUUGCUAAGUUAGUAAAAUAGUUUGCUAAUUGGUUACCUUUUCUUAAAAUAUGCUGAAAUUGCACAUGCUUGUUUGAAAGUAACUGUCAUAUUUGAUUGACCUUAUCUGGUAUACUUCAUGGACUCUCCCAUUCCUUAGUACUUUUUGCAUUGCUAAAGAAUCUGUUAGAAUGAUCACUUUGUCCUUCUUUGAUUGAUUGCAAUGUUUAGCUGCAUGUAGUAUUGCCAUAGCCUUUGCUUCCAUGUUGUUAGUAUCCUCUAUGAUUGUUCCUUCUUCAUGUAAUAGAUCACUAUGUAUAUCUCUCAAACAGAAUGCCCAUGAACUUUUCCUUGGAUUCCCUUUUGAUGCUCCAUCAAUGUUGUACUUUACCCAACCUGCCAUUGAAAACUCCCAUAACACUGUAAUGACUUUUAUCCUAGGCUUCAAUUGCUUAAAAUCCUGUAAAAUUACCAGCCAUUCAUAUGAGAAAUCCAUCUUUGGCUUUCUAACUUAGUUCCUUGUAAUAUUAAAGAUCAACCUCUGUGCAUUUACUCAUUUUCCUUCAUGUUUCAAUGCAUUCCUUCUUUUUCACAAUUCCCACAAAAUGAUACCAAGUUAUGUUCUGAAGUACAUCUUUUCUCUCUGUUUCACCUGAACAUCCCACCAUGUACAUAUUAUAUCUCUUAAGCCCAAUUCUUGAAUGUUAAUUCCUGUAAAUCAAGAAAAUAGGACCAAGUCCUAUUAACAAUAUAAGAUUUUCUUAGCACAUAAGACAUAGUCUCUUGUGCUGGAUUUUGGCAACACCAGCAUUUGGAAGGAACUUCAAAUCCCCAUCUUCUUAUAGUAUCAUCCACUGGAAUCUUUCCCUUUCACAUUCUCUACAUAAAGAACACAAUCUUAAAAGGAAACCCCUUUAUCCAUAAUUGCUUAUAAAAAUCAUUGAUCCCUUCUCUAUGUCUCACAUACCACCAUGCUGAUUUAACUGUAAACUUUCCUCGAGUAUCAACACUCCAUAUUGCUUUAUCUUUUUCUGUUGAUUGCUCUAGAGGUCUUAAUUUAUGAACUAUAUGAUCCACCGGCUCUUCUGAAAAUAAAUUCUUCAACAAGUCUUCAUUUCAGUUUCCAUUCCACACCAAAUCCUUAACAUAUUGAUAUCUGUCAUCCUAUUCUUUGUUGUUCUGCAUAAUAGAAUAAAUAUCUCCUACUUCAGUCCAAUUGUAAAACCAAAUAUGUGCAUCACCUCCUCUAAUCUUUCACUUUAUAAGAUGAUCAGUAAGAUCUCUUGCUAGUAGCAUUUUUUCCAGACUUGAGAUCCCCCCAUCUUCCAGAAAUCAUGACUCAAAUCUUUGUCUUACUUUUGAGCUAGAUGGUACACCCUAUAAACGUACUUAUCCACUAGCUAUAUGGACUCCUCUCUUGUAACGCCCCAAGACUACACCCUGGACAUCACACGGUGCUUACGACCCCGAAGGACCACAAGCUAACCCAUGACUGGUACCUGCUGUGAGCACUGAAUAAUAAUCAUGAAGUAUAUCAACAACAAAAACAAACCCAGCGUAUUCCCAUAAAGUGGGGCCUGUGGAGGGUAGACUGUAUGCAGUCCAUUCCGCUACCUCCAAAGAAGUAGAGAGGUUGUUUUUGAUAGACCCCCAGCUUAAGAUAGAGAAUAGUAAGUAAGAGCGUAAUACACCAUUAAGAAUGGUGGGUGGCAUAACAUAAAAGGAAUAAGACAUACUAAAAAUAAAAUAGAAAUCAGAGUAAUACAAAAUAAGAUAAAUAAGCGCAAUAUGAAAUAAGAGAUAAGAAAUAUGGCAUUCGAAAAGUAUUACCCCCACCUAUGGACACAGUCCUGGGAUUACUAACCCAGCUAUACAUGAGCUCUUCUACUACUAGCUACAACCCACGUACGCGACCUAGCCUUUUACCCUUAUCCGCGACCUCCGCAACUUCCUAUCUAGAGUCAUGUCCUCAGUAAGCUAUAACUGCUCCAUAUCAUGUCUAAUAACUUCCCUCCAGUACUUCUUCGGCCUACCUCUACUCCUUCGAAAUCCAUCCAACACUAGCCUCUCACACCUAUGAACUGGGGCAUCUGUGCCCCUCCUCAUCAUAUGCCCAAACCAUCUCAGCCUUCUUUCUCACAUCUUUUCCUCCACCGAAGCCACUCCCACCUUCUCCUGGACUAUCUCAUUUCGAACUAUAUCCUCUCUAGUAAGUCCACACAUCCAACGCAACAUUCUUAUUUCUGACACCUUUAAUUUUUGAAUGUGGGAGUUCUUGACUGGCCAACACUCUGCUCCAUAUAACAUAGCUGGACGGACUGCCACUUUAUAAAAUUUGCCUUUAAGCUUAUGUUGCACUUUCUUAUCACACAACACACCCGAGGCAAGCCUCCACUUCAUCCAACCUGCUCCAAACGAUUAGAGAUAUCCUCAUCAAUCUCGCCAUUCCCUUGAAUCAUAGACCUAAGAUACUUAAAACUAUCCCUCUUACAAACAUCCUGGGAAUCCAGCCUCACCACCAUAUCUUCCUCCUGCCUCAAGUCGCUAAAAUUGUAUUCCAUAUACUCCAUCUUGGACCUGCUUAACCUAAACCCCUUGGACUCUAGGGUUUGCCUCCAAACCUCUAAUUUUUUAUUCACACCCCCUCGCGUUUCAUCAAUCAACACUACAUCCGCAAAAAACAUACACCAUGGCACCUCCCCUUGAAUACAUCACGUCAACGCAUCCAUCACCAAUGCAAACAGGAAUGGGCUAAGAGUCAAACCUUGAUGCAACCCUGUCUCAACUGAAAAUUAUUCUGAGUCCCCUCCCACCGUUCUCACCCAAGUUUUUUCUCCAUCGUACAUGUCCUUAAUAGCUCUGAUGUACACCACCGGGACCCCUCUUGCCUCUAAGCAUCUCCCAAGAACCUUCCUAGGAGAUUUUUUAUAAGCCUUCUCCAAGUCAAUAAACACCAUCUUCGUUUCCCUAUACUAUUCCACCAAUCUCCUCACCAAGUGUAUUGCCUCUGUCGUUGAGUGACCGAGAAUAAAACCAAACUGAUUCUCUGAAAUAGACAUGAUCUUUCUUAAUCUCGGCUCUACCACCCUGUCCCAAAUAUUCAUAGUAUGACUCAGCAGCUUAAUACCUCUAUAAUUAGUGCAACUCUGAAUGUCCCCCUUAUUUUUAUAUAAAGAAAUCAUCGUACUCUACCUCUAAGCUUCAGGCAUUCUCGCCGUCUUGAAAAUGCUGUUAAACAAAUCAGUUAACCACCUUAACACUGCCCUACCUAAAAACUUCCAAAAAUUUACCGAAAUCUGAUCAGGCCCCAUCGCCCUUCCCCUCCACAUCGUACGAAUAGAUUUCCCGACCUUCUCAAUCUUAAAGCGUCUAUAAUAAUUGAAAUCAUGUCUCUCCUCCGAGUGUUCCAGCUCACCUAACUCAAUGCCUCUGUCCCCUUCCUCGUUCAAAAGCCUAUGGAAAUGCUCCUGCCAUCUCUUCUUAAUAUGGGCACCUCCACCAAAACUCUAUAAUCCUCCCCCUUAAUUCACUUCACUUGGUCAAGGUCCCGACCCUUCCGCUCCCUAGCCUUAGUAAGCCUAUACAACCUCUUUUCCCCACUUUUCUCCUCUAACCCCGCAUAUAAGCUCUCAAAUGCUGCUGACUUUGCUGCUGUAACUAUAAGCUUAGCCUCCUUCUUUGCUAAUUUGUAGACCUCCCAAUUCAUCCUCUUCUCUUCUGUAUCUUUACUCUCAAUCAACUUAACAUACGCCCCCUUAUUAAUCUCUAUUUUCUUUUUAACAUCUUUAUUCCACCACCAGUCUCCCUUAUGUCAUCCUGCCCGACCCCUCAAAAUACCCAACACUUCUCUAGCAGUCUCCGUGAUGUAACUGGUAGCCUUAUCCCACAUGGCAUCCACAUCUCCCCUACAAUCCCACACCCCUAAAACCACCACUUUCUCUUCUAUCUUCAGCGCACUAUCUGGAGUCAAGCCACCCCACCUAAUUCUAGACGACCCUCCUCGACCCUUCUUUUUUUUUCUUCUUUAUAAACAAGUCCAUCACCAGGAGCCUGUGCUGAAUCGAAAGAUGUUCACUCGAAAUGUUUUUACAGUCCUUACAUAAAACCCUAUCUCCUCUUCUUAGCAGCAUAAAGUCAAUGUGAGUCUUGGCUAUUGGACUUCAAAAGGUAAUCAGGUGAUCCUCCUUCUUCGGAAAGCUCGAAUUCACCUCCACCAACCCGAAAGCCUUUGCAAAAUCUAAUAAAGUUGCUCCCUCCUAAUUCCUAUCACCAAAACCAAAACCUCCAUGCACAUCGUCAUGACCUCCUAGUAAAACCCCAGUGUGCCCAUUGAAGUCUCCGCUAUGAUAAUCUUCUUCGAACUAGGCACGCCUCUCACCACCUCAUCCAAAGCCUCCCAAAACCUCAAUUUCACUUUCUCUCCCAAGCCCACCUAUGGAGCAUAAACACUACACACCCAAUGACCAACUUGAUCGUUAUCAACCUACCACAGACCCUUUUUACCUCCACCACAUGUGCUCUAAGCUCCUCAUCCACUAAGAUCCCACACCAUUCUGAUGCCUGUCACUUCCUGAUUACCACAGCUUAUACCCAUCCACAUCCCUAGCUUUAGACCCUACCCAUUUAGUCUUCUAAACACAUACAAUAUUAAUCUUCCUCCUCGUAAGAAUCUUCACCAGCUCUAUGGACUUACCCUGAAGGGUCCCUAUAUUCCAAGACCCUACCCUCAACCUAGCUACUCUCGCCUCUCGCCUAUAUCUACCACCACUCAACUCCCAAGCCCUAACACCUAACCUAAACCCCACACCUACCCCUGACCGCCCUUCUUCACCCUCACGCAAAAUCGACCCCAACCCUAACCCCCUCGAACAUAACCCUAUUCCACCAUCAACCACUACAUCCACCACUUAAGGCCAAAACUAAGCCCAAACAAAGCCUCAAGCCCAUAGAAAAGUAGAUACCAAAAACAAAGCACCAAUUGGAAAGAAGAAAAGAAAAAGAAAGAAAACAGUAAAGAUCCAGUAUUCAGUCAUAAAAUACCCAAUCCAGCCUAGCAGCUACAACAAAACACAGAUAUCCACCAAUAAGCUACAGCAAACCAAUACAAACUAUACUCACAAGAAAAUAAAACAAUACAAACGAAAUGGUAAAAUAAUAACUAGUAAAAGUAUGUAAAUAUCAAAGCUUAGCUAUCACCAGGGUACUCCUGUGUGGUGAUAGUAUCAUCAAUUUUGCUUUCUAAGUUGUUUGCUAAAAAUAGCAUCGCUAGAAAGCUGCCGCUGGAGCACCGCCGGCUAUUGGCUGUCGUUGUCGCUAGAGCUUCAACUGGGCAUAACCAGUUCUGCAUUCUGGGGAUGUCACCAAAGUUGUGCUAGUGAAAAACCUAGUCUUUCCAGCUAUAACAAUGACAGAUAGCCAAGAAGGAGGAGGGAGAGAGAAAAGUCACUCUGGAAAGAUAGGGGGAGAGAGAGAGGGGGAGAAGAAGCUCGAGAGAGAGGGUAAAUAAUGUAGACUUACCUGUCACUAUCGCCGGUGCCGACUGCUUGAUCAGAGAAGAAAGACGUUUGGUGAAACGUUAUUGUAACAUUAGUAAAGAGAGAAAAAACACAAUAGAUGAUCCAACAUUGAACAAUAAUCAUCUAUCUCCAAUAAUCAUAAAGUAUAUGCGAAAGUGAAACUAAAAAUGCCAUAAGGCUCAUAAAACUAAAUCAAAACUGAAUACAUCUAUAGAAUAACUGCUAACUAAUAAUGUCUGAAGUCCUCUAAACAUCUGACAUAAAAGAGUUGAUGGGACAGGCCUCAACUAACUUAAAACUAUUUCCUGAAAAAAUUGAAAUACUGAAAUAAUGCAAAGACAAAAUAAGUAUCGCGUCCUCGAUGGAUGAGGACUCCCUACUGUAACUGCAGCUAAUCGAUUGAUCAGGAUAAGUACAGUUAGGAACCCAAGCGUCCAAACCUAUGAUAUGAGAUAUCAUAGCACAAAUAGAGAGUAUAUGUAAGUACUUUGAAUGUACUUGUAUGCUAGGUGAGGUUAGGAUAAUAAGCAUGGUUUCGUGUGCAUGGGUAAUAAUAAUAACUAAAUAUCAUGAAGUGACUGGAUGAGAGUAUAUCCAAGGCUGGGACUACUGAAGGUAAUGAACCUGUAAUACCAAGCAUAUAUCAUUUGUCUGAAUUAGAAUAAAACUAAAGUACUAAAUUUUUUAUAACUGAUUACUGAUAACUAAAAUUUAUGAUCGUGUAGAACUCGAACUGAGUUCUAUACUGAAUGUUGAAUACUGGAACUGAGACUAUGAGAGUUAUCAUCUAACUGACAUACCCUGAUUAUUGACUAAUUUGGGGUCCAACAUAUAACCCCAGUUGGAAGGGUGUUAGCACCGUACCACAGGUUACUAACACUGUCUGGGUCAACUCUAAUCUGGCAGAAAGACUCAUGAGAUGUAUAUGGUUACGUCAACCCUAGUUUGACAAAAAAAUGAUUUACACUAUGCUGGCUAUGUAGUUCUGUAACUCAGGGACUGCUACUAAGGGUCAAACCCUAUACUAGCAAGAAUCCUCCAUCCCUGUAUUCGUUCGAUGCUGAAUCCUACUCCCAACUGAAUCAACAUGGAUCACUAGACUAUUCUGAGCUUGACUGAACUUACGUCAAUUCUAUUAACUGACUCAAUGCUACUAUUCGGGAUACUACAAAAUCAUUCUAUUACAACUGGAAACUAAGUAAGUAGCAAAUAAUGGACUCGAUAGAAUAAAUAAUGGAACCAUAUCACAAGUUUAAAAGUAUUACAAUUAGGAUAUCAUGCACAAUUUGUUCACAUAGACAUUUUGUCAAACACUUAGGGAGCAUGGUUCUUUUACAUGAGAAAGAAUAACAUGGGGAUAUCAUGACUAUAAUAUUUAACUCAAAAUUCAUGGGUUAUGACAUGAGGAGUACAUAAAUCAACACACAUGCUAGUUUAUUUACUUGAAAUUCAUAAUCUUCUUAGUUUGAAAUCUACAAAAUCAACACAUACAUGAACACAAUUUAAUUUAAGGAUGUGAUUCAUAAUUAAAAUUCUCAAAAGAAGGAUUUUUGAAUUCCAAGGGUGGAAGGAACCCAAGGAUGAAUACCAAACAUACCUUGAUUUCUGAAUCUGUGAGAAUUGAUGGUGAAUUAUUGAGCUUUGAUCUUGAAUCUUAAAGGGCUAGGGUUUGUUCUUAAAAGAGGGCCACCAUAAUUUGAGUAAAUUGUGAGAAUAAUGAACAAAUAACACUCUUUAGGACUUAAAUCCUGUGUUUGGACUAAAUGGGGUGAGGGAAAAGGACUUAAAUGUCCUUGGGAAUUAAAAAUGCAAAACUAAACUCAAAAUCCUGACUUUGACACCCGGUGCAAUGCGGUGCAACCGUGUCGGGCCAUUGGAAAAGGGACAAUCUUGAAUUUACCCUACGGCGCAAUGCGGUGAAAUCGCGUUGAGCCACUGGAAAUGGACAAUUUUGAAAUGGCACCUUGGCGCGAUGUGGUGCCAAUCGCAGUGACACACUGGAAAGUGACGAUCGCAAAAAUGACCCUUGGAACGACGUGAUGCUUGUUGAGGUGACACAUUGGAAAAGGAAGAACGUGAUUUUGGCAAUCACCGCGAUGCGGCCUUAUCGCGUUGGGCUACUAUUUUUCACUAAAAGUGUCAUAACUUUUCUCCCGAGUAUCGAAUUUAGACAAAAUUGUAGACAAAAUUGGUAUCAUUGGAAAGCUAAUUCGAUUUCCUGCAGUUUGGUAGGUCUUGAGCUGGAAAAUUCUCAAUAGAGAAAAAGAUAUACUUGUUUGAAUUUCACUAAAGAAACAUUCUUAUAAAAAAUUCUAGCUAGGAGUUAUUUGAGGCCUUAAUAUACAUCAAACCCAUUCAUAACACUACCAAAGAACUAUAAUGUUCUAUGUAUGAGCUUUAAACAUGGAUCUAACAUUGGUUUGGAUUUUUUGAGGUAUUGCAAUAUCUCUCCCUUGGAAACAUUCGUCCUUGAAUGAGAUUGGUUAAGCUGAAAACACUGAGGAACUUAGGUUACAUGCUGGAUAUACAUGAUGAAAAUAUGAUUACAUAACUGAGUCUGAAGCAUAACACAUGAAUGAACUGGUUCUUUGAAUGCAUGAUUGACAUUAGAAUGAUAUACAGCUUAAACUGAGCAUGGAAAGGAAAAAUUAGAAGAAAAUUGUUACCUUACGCUAAAUUUGAGGUUGUGAAGAAAAGAUGAGGGUAAUUGGUCCAUAUAUCUUCUUUUGCUUUCCAAGUGGCUCUCUCAACGGACUGGUUCCGCCAAAGAACUUUGACUAGGGGAACUUCUUUAUUCCUUAGUCUACGAAUUUGAUGAUCGAGGAUCUCGACUGGGACCUCCUCGUAAGAGAGACUAUUUUGAACAUCUACACUCUCUACGGGGACUACAACUGCUGGGUCACCUAUGCACUUAUUUAGCAAGGAGACAUGAAACACUGGGUGCACUGAUGCUAGGUCUGCAGGCAACUCAAGUUCAUAAGCCACCUUUCCAAACUAGCUCAAAAUCCUAUAAGUACCAACAUACUGGGGACUUAGCUUCCCCUUCUUACCUAACCUCUUCACUCCCUUCAUGGAAGAGAUCUUUAUAUAUACGAAAUCCCAAUCUCAAACGUAAGGUCUGUCUUUCUCACAUCUGGAUAAGAUUUUUGUUGGCUUUUGGCUGACUUAAGCCCCUUCCUGAUCAACUGUACUUUCUCUAAGGCAUCAAACACCAAGUCAGGCCCCAUACCACAGCCUCAUCUACUUCAAACCAACCAAUCUGAGAUCUAUAUCUCCUUCAAUACAGAGCUUCAAAUGGAGCCAUUUGAAUAAAGGAAUGGUAACUAUUAUUAUAGGAGAAUUCAAUCAAAGGCAAGUGGUUGUCCCAACUGACCUUAAAGUCUACUACACACACUCUCAACAUAUCCUCAAAAGUCUGAAUGGUCCUUUCUGUUUGACCAUUUAUCUGAGGGUGGAAGGAUGUACUGAGGUAAACUUAGGUACCAAGAACCUUCUGAAAAGCUUUCCAAAAGUGAGAGGUUAACUAUAUACCUAUAUCUGAGAUGAUGGGUAAUGAGACACCGUGCAACCUAACCAACUCUCUAAUAUAGAGCCUGGCAUAGUCCUCGGCUAAAAAAGAAGUAUGGACUGGCAAGACAUGGGUUGAUUUGGUCAUCCUAUCUACAAUGACCCAAAUUAAAUCAUUCUGACGAUGAGUACGAGGCACACCUGUCACAAAAUCUAUGUUCACUUCCUCCCACUUCCAAGUGGAAAUACUAAACUCCUGCAUAGACCCAUGGGGAUUCUGGUACCUAAUCUUCACCUACUGACAAGUAGAGUACUUAGCCACAAGCUCUAUAAUAUCCCUCUUCAUACCACUCUACCAAUAGAUUUCCUGUAGAUUGUGAUACAUCUUCGUGGCCCCUGGAUGAGUAGAGUAACACACACCAUGCUCUUCUGCAAGAAUUCCCUAUCUCAACUCAUCAACACAUGACACAUAUAGUCUACCCUGGCAACGCAACAAGUUAUCUCCCCCUUUGGAGAAAAUCUCUACUCUCUGAUCUCUGAAUAACUCUUUUAAUUUAACUAAAUUAGGAUCCUGACCUUCUUUUCUUUUACCUUGGCAACUAAAGAAAAUUUCAAACUACUCUGCACCCAUAUGCUACCCUCAGCUAAAUCAACUAAUGAAACACCUAAUCCGACAAGCUGAUGAACUUCCUUAACUAACUUCUUCUUAUCAUCCUCAACAUGAGCAACACUACCCAUGAACAAUUUACUUAGGGAAUUUGUCACUACAGUGGCCUUGCCCGGGUGAUACAGAACACUUAUGUCAUAGUCUUUCAGUAAUUCUAACUAUCUUCUCUGAUGCACAUUCAAAUCCCUCUGUGAGAAUAAUUAUUGCAAGAUCCUGUGAUCUGUGAACACAUCAACAUACACCCUAUACGAAUAGUGCCUCCAAAUCUUUAAGGAAAACACAAUAGCUACUAACUCAAGAUCAUGGGUAGGGUAAUUAUUUUUAUGAGGCUUAAGCUGUCUAGAGGCAUAGACCACAACCUUACCCUUCUGUAUCAAAACACAUCCCAAACUAACUCUGGAAGUAUCACAGUACACAACAAACCCAUCUGAACCAUUUGGUAACGUCAAAACUAAGGAUGUGGUGAGUUGAGUUUUCAAAUCUUGAAAACUCUUCUCAUAAGAUUCUAAUCACUGAAACUUAACUCUUUUUUGGGUCAAUCUGGACAUGAAAACCCUUCAACAAACCAUUGGUAAUACCCAGCCAAACCCAAGAAAGUCCUAAUAUCUGAUAGAGAAAUGGGUCUAGGCCAGUUUCUCACUGCUUUAAUCUUUUGAAGAUCAACUCUAAUGCCAUCACCAGAAAUAAUAUGGCCAAGGAAAGCCACUAACCUUGGCCAAAAUUUGCACUUACUGAAUUUAGCGAAUAACUGAUGGGCUCUAAGAGUUUGCAAUACUAUUCGGAGGUGGUUUGCAUGAUCAUUUUUGUUACGGUAGUAGACAAGGAUGUCAUCAAUGAAGAAUAUGAUGAACAUGUCCAAGUACUGCUUGAACACUCAGUUCAUCAAUCCAUGAAGGCUGCGGGGGAAUUUGUGAGAUCGAAGGACAUGACUAGAAACUCAAAGUGACCAUACCGAGUUCUAAAAGCUAUUUUCAGAAUGUCACAUUGUCUGACUCUGAGUUGAUGAUAGCCGGAUCUGAGGUCUAUCUUAGAAAAAUAAUUGGCACCCUAAAGUUGGUCGAAUAAGUCAUCGAUUCUAGGAAGUAGGUAUUUGUUUUUGAUUGUGACUGUUCAACUGGCUGCAAUCAAUACACAUUCUGAGAGAACCGUCUUUUUUACAUACGAAUAGGACUAGUGCACCCUAUGAGGAGUUGAUGGGCCUAAUGAAUCCCUUAUAUUGGAGAUUUUUCAACUGUUCUUUUAAAUAUUUGAGUUCGGCUAGAGCCAUUCUGUAUAAUAGAAUAGAGAUAGGCUGUGUAUCUGGAAGAAAGUCUAUUCCGAAGUCAAUUUUUCUUUCGGGAGGAACUCCGAGAAGAUCUUAAAGGAAUACAUCUGGAAAUUCCCUUACUACUAAAAUUGACUCAAGAUUUGAGGUCUCAAAAUUAGAGUCUUUGACUUAGACAAGAUGGUAAAUACACUCCUUGGAUAUCAUCUUUCUCGCUUUAAGGUACAAAAUAAGCUGACCCCUAAGCGCUGUAGUACUACCCUUCUAUUUAAGGACUGGUUCACUUGGAAACUAAAAAUGAACUACUCUAUUUCUACCAUCGACUGAGGCAUAAUAUAAGUGAAGCUAAUCCAUGUCAAAAAUGAUAUCAAAAUCCAUUAUCUCUAGCUCUACAAGGUCUGUCGAAGUAAUUUUCUAAGAAACCAUAAUCAGACAGUUCCUGUAUACCCAUCGGACUAUGAUAGAAUUACCCACUGGGGUAGUGACUCAAAAAGGCUUUAUUAGGAUUUUGGGGCUGACUCUGAAGUUGACAGCUAUGUAAGGAGUUACGAAAGACAGAGAAGCUCCAAGAUAUAACAAAGUAUAAAUAUGUAAAUGAAAGAUUUACAAUGUACUAGUAACCAUAUUUGGAGAAAUCUCCUCAACCUAUCGGGACUGAAGUGCAUAGAGCCUAUUUAGGCACUGCCCACUGGUGGCAUAGGAAGCGGCAUCCCUGCUGAGAUGGGUGACCAGAUUGAAUUGAGGGACAAUUAUGUUGACUCUGUGAACCCAUUUGGGGACAUCCUCUGAUCUUAUGGACUGGCUUACCACAUCCAAAACAUAUACUGUUGUCGUCCCUGUAGACAUCCUGAUGGUUUCUACCAUAUUUCUGAUAAAGUGGAUUUGUACGACAAUUCUUUACACUGCCUUAGGACUUAGAGCCUAGCGCCCUAUCCCUAUUAUGAUUUUUGAAUUUGGGUACUAGGGCACUAGCUGAAGAUGGGGCAGGAGAUGAAGAUUAUGGAUGAAAUUAAGGACAGUUACCAUCUUCUGACUUUGGCUGAGUAAAAUUGAAGCUACCUGUUCUAGCUUUCUUGUUCUCUUUCUCCUUCUUCUUAUUCUUCUGCUCCUCAAUCUAUUGAGCAUGGAAUAUAAGCUUAGAUAUGUUCGUCUCCUUAAUUAACAUCGCAGUCCUACACUCUUUGACCAUACUGUCAGAUACCCCAGACACAAACUUUCUCAUCCUAGACCUGCUAUCAGCCACCAUAUGAAGAGCAUACCUAGCUAGCUAAGUAAACUUAAGGGAAUACUCCUUCACACUUAUUUUUCCCUUUCUCAAGUUGUUAAACUCUAACACUUUGUCUUUCCUCAGCUCCAACGGGAAAAAUCUAUCUAAGAAGGCUGUAGCAAACUUCUCUCAUUCUAUAGGCCCUGUAUCUGCGCCUCUAUCCUCUUUUCACUGCUUAACUAGGUAUAAGUUACAUCUUACAACUGAUAGACAGCUAAAUCAGUACUCUCACUAGCAGUUACCCCAUAAUGUUUGUUACCUUAUGAACCAUGUCAAGAAAUUCCUGUGGAUCUUCCUCAUACUUAUAUCCUAAAAAUGAAGGAGGGUUCAUUCGGGUGAAGUACCGAAUUCUAGCUGCAGUAGUAUUGGCCACUGGGUUGUCCUGAACAGCAGCUGGUCGAACAUUCUGAGCUACCAAAGAAUUGGCUACGGUUGUGAAUAUUACUCUGAAUUCUGCAUUAAAAAUGUGCUCAUUAAGGGGAUCUUCCUGAACAGGCGAAGGUACUGUCUAGUUCCAAUUUCUUUUUAUGUUAGUCUUUCUGGGAGGCAUGUUCUAUAAAUGGAAGGGAAAGUUGGAUUAGAUAGAGAAUUUAACUUGAGCUCAUGCUCACUCGCAUAAUAUAAACACUAAAAGAAGGGAACUUUUCCUAAAAUACCUCAUAGCCUCUUGCACAUUAGUGUGGUGCGCUUCACACCAAUGCACAAGACUCUACUUGACGCGACUCUCAAAUUUCCUAGGAUACCUUAGAACCCUAGGGUUUGAUACCAAGUUUGUAAUGCCCCAUGACUAAACCCUGGGUGUCACACAAUGCUUACGACCCUAAUGGACCACAAGCUAACCCAUGACUAGUACCUGCUGUGAACACUGAAUAGUAAUCAUAAAGUUUAUACGAAAGUAAAACUAAAAAUGCCAUAAGGUCAUAAAACUGAAUCAAAAUUGAAUACAUUUAUAGAAUAACUGCUAAAUGAUAAUGUCUGAAGGCCUCUAAACAUCUGACAUAAAAGAGUUGAUGGGAUCGGCCUCAACUAACUCACAACUAUUGUCUGAAAUAACUGAAAUACUAAAAUAAUGCAAAGACAAAAUAAGUAUCGCGUCCUCGAUGGAUGAGGACUCACUACUAUGACUGACUGAUCUGUCUAAGUACGGUCAGGAACCCGAGCAUCCAAACCCAUGAUAUGAGACAUCAUAUCACAAAGAGAGAGUAUACAUCAGUACUUUAAAUGUAUUGGUAUGUUAGGUGAGGUUAGGCUAAUAUGCAUAGGUUCAUGUGCAUGAGUAAUAAUAAUAACUAAAUAUCAUGAAGUGACUGGAUAAGAGUAUAUGCAAGGCUAGGACUACUGAAGGUAAUGAACCUGUAUUACCAAGCAUAUAUCAUCUGUCUGAAUUAGACUGAAACUAAAGUACUAAAUUUCUAAUAACUGAUUACUAAUAACUGAUAGUUAUUAUCGUGUAGAACUCAACUGAGUUUUGUACUAAAUGUUGAAGACUAAAUAUUGAAUACUGGAACUAAGAUUGUGGGAGUUAUCAUCUAAUCAUCAUACCCCAAUUAUAGACUGAUUUGGGGUCCAACCUAUAACCCCAAUUGGACGGAUGUUACCACCGUGCCACGGGUUACUAACACUGUCAGGGUCAACCCUAAUUUGGCAAAAAGGCUAAUGAGAUGUAUAUAAUUACGUCAACCCUAGUUUGUUAGGAAAAUAAUUUACCCUACACUGGCUAUGUAGUUCUGUAACUCAGGGACUGCUAGUAAGGAUCAAACCCUAUACUGGCAGGAAUUCCCCCAUCCCUAGGUUUACUUGAUGCUGAAUCCUACUUUUAACUGAACCGACACAGAUCACUAGACUAUACUAAGCUUGACUGAACUCACACUGAUUUUGUUAAUUGAUCCAAUGCUACCAUUUGGGAUACUACAGAAUUAUUCUAUUACGACUGGAAACUAAGUAAGAAAUAAAUUUCAGGUAUAAAAUACCCCCAGGACUCGAUAGCAUAAAUAAUGGAACCAUAUCAUAAGUUUAAAAGAAUUACAAUUAGGAUAUCAUGCACAAUUUGUUCACAUAGACAUUUUGUCAAACACUUGGGGAGCAUGGUUCUUGUACAUGAUAAAUAAUAACAUGGGGAUAUCAUGACUACAACAUUCAGCUCACAAUUCAUGGGUUAUGACAUGAGGAGUACAUAAAUCAACACACAUGCUAGUGUAUUACCUGAAAUUCAUAAUCUUCUUUGUUUGAAAUCCAUAAAAUCAAGACAGAUAUGAACACAAUUCAAUUUAAGAAUGUGAUUCAUAAUUUAAAUUCUCAAAAAAAGGAUUUUUGAACUCCAAGGGAGGAAGGAACCCAAGGAUAAACACCAAACAUACCUUGAUUUCUGAAUUUGUGAGAAUUGAUGGUGAAUUCUUAAGAUUUGAUCUUGAAUCUUGAAGAGUUAGGGUUUGUUCUUGAAACAUAGGUACUUUAAUUUGAGUAAAUUGUGAGAAUAAUGGGAAAAUAAUGUUCUUUGGAACUUAAAUCUCGUGUUUGAAAUGAAUGGAGUGAGGGAAAAGGAAUUAAAUGUCCUUGGGAAUUAAAAAUGCAGAACUGAACUCAAAAUCUCGAUUUUGACACCCGACGCGAUGUGGUGCAAUCACAUUGGGCCACUGGAAAAGGGACAAUCCCAAAUUUACCUUGCGGUGCAACACAGUGAAAUCACGCUCUAGAAACAGACAAUUCUGAAAUGACUCCUUGGCGUAAUGUGGUGCCAAUCGUGGUGACACACUGGAAAGUGACGAGUGCAAAAAUGCCCCUUGGUGCGACAUGGUACUUAUAUUUGUGACACACUAAAAAGUACGAACAUGAUUUUGGCCAUCACCGCGGCACGGCCUUAUCGCGUUGGGCUACUAUUUUUCGCUAAAAGUGUCAUAACUUCUCUGCCGAGUAUUGGAUUUAGGAAAAAUUGGUAUCGUUGGAAAGCUAAUUCAAUUUUCUAUAGUUUGGUACGUAUGAUAUGGAAAAUUAUUAGUAGAUGAAAAGAUAUGCUCAUUUGAAGUAUACUAAAGCAACAUUCUUCUAAAAAAUUCAAUUAGUAAGGAUUAUUUUGUUUCAUCUAAUAGCUGGGAGUUAUUUGAAACCUUAAUAUACAUCAAACUCAUGCAUAACACUACCAAAGAACUAUAAUGUACUAUGAAUGAGCUUGAAAUAUGGCUCUAACAUUGGUUUGGAUUUUUGGGGUAUUACAACCCAUGACUCGGCGGCCAAGCCCCAGUUUGAGUUUGCCGCAAGGAUUGGGGUUUGUCAUUCAUACUAUUCCAUAAGGCCAUUGCUAGCGUACAAUCCCUAUUAUAGGACAUCAUAAAACCACAUUGAUAAAAUAUGGUUUCCAGCAAUGAGCCCUUACACUCAAAUGCCUUCCUCGGAUAACCACCUAACUCUCUUUAAGCCCAUUUUUAAUCUCCUUGAAACAUGCAUCUUUUAGUACUCAAAAUUUGAAAAUCAGGUUCCAUUAUGGCAUUCAUCUAUUUGAUAUCAUCAUACCAAGACUUGCAAGUCAUAUAUCUAAGCUAUAAAAUAUCAUGGUACAGUCUCUUUAUUCAAAACAUAAUGUUUGGACCACCAAAUUAUUCAAAUAGUAUAAGAGAAUUUGUAUUUCAAAAUACAUGAAAACUUACGCAAAGAUUCUCUCUUUCAAUUCUUAAACAUGUGGUGGUCAAUUAUUUUGUAGAAAACCAUGCAAUUCUUUCAAUAAUCAUCUUAAAUAUUUAAAAACAAGAAAACACUUGUAAAAUACGAAAUCACCCUCUCUUCAACCCACAACUAAGAUCUAGUUCAUAAACAACAUUAAAGCUCUUAUCUCAUGCUUUUAAUAAAUGCAGUUUCACCACCUCCAACAUGUAAAGUAAAGAAGUAUCAUAACAAGAGAGGGACAAAUUUUUCGCACAUGCUCUCAAUUAACUUUACAAAACUAAAAAUACUUAUACGUAUGCAAACAUGAUUCAAUUCUAUAAUGAGGCCUCAAGACCAAAAUGUAUAUUAUCAAAAGGGGUUCACAAUGUAUGCUUUUUGAUGUAUGAUAAUCCAAUUUAAUAAUGAAAAUUGUCAAAUUGACUCUCGGAAACAAAAAAGUCAAAUGCAUGCAUACGAACUUCUAGUAUUCGAGUAUGCUCGCCACUAUCAGUGCAAAUAGAGGUUGCCAAUGAAUAUGAACCUCGACCCUUCAUAAUUAAAUGAUUCCAUAACUUUAAACCUUACUCAAAAUAUUUUCAAUAAGCCCAUGUAGUUUAGGAAAACCCACGUACUUUAGAUGACUAAAUUCGAAGGAUGGACCCGAAUCUUGGAAAUUGACUUAAGAGCUUGAUUCUUGAUCUUUGGGGGAGGAGUUAGGGUUUUGUUCUUGAUGGAUUUAAGCAAUUUUGAGCAUAUAAUGUCCUAAUAAUGUUUUAAUCAGCUAUUAACACGGCUUGGGGUUAUAGAUAAAAGUCAAAACUAUCCUUUAAAAUUAAAUUUUUCAGCAGAAUCCCACUUUUGGAGCUCACCGCAAUGUGCUACCAUCACGGUGGUUUACUGGUUCUGACGAAAAUGAUCAUAACUUUUUAAUUAGGCAUCAGAUUAAGGAUAAAUUGGUAUCGUUGGAAAGCUGACUCAAUUAGCUACAAUUUAGUGGGUCUUAAGCUGAAAAGUUUUACAUAUAUCAAAAGUUAUACAUAUGCAAAGUUGACCCUUGUAGAAUCGAAUACCAAACUUUGGACGAUUCAAAGGCUCUUAGCUCAACUUUGCUCUAAGUGAUUUGUAUGAAUAUUUUUCACCUCAUAAUCACUUAAUAAUUAUACACAAACACACUCUUCAGAUGCAUCUUAUAUAUGUUGCAUUUAAUUUUUUUAAUUUCUUCUUUGUUCAAUGUUUUAUGUUAAGAAGUAUUGCUUUUCUUUAUCUUAUUCCAUCUCUUUUUUUGUUUUUGCUUUCUGUAAUUUUUAAAUUCAAUUAGUAUUUAUUCAUAUUUAUGACGUGUAUGCAAUGUAAUGAAAUAAAUUUGAUAUAAAAGAUUGUAUUUGUUUUUGUAGAGGAUAAUGACAAUGUGGAGGAACUUGAGUGAGAACGAUGAUAAUUGAAAAAAAGGAGUAAAAGAAAAAGAUCAAAAGACCAGUCUCUAUUUAUUAAAGUUUUUAGAGAGGAAAAGGGGUAGGAUGGAAAGAUAUAUGCAAGUAUGUAGGUAUGUAUUUUAUUAAUUUUCUUUUCUAUUUUAUUUCUUUUUCUACAUUUGUUCUUUCCAUUUUUAAUUUAUUUUUUUCUUUUGAGAGAAAAGAAAAAUUAGCAACCAAAAAAUACUAUAAAAAAACCUUAGAGAAAGAAACGAAAGAGGACAACAAUUUUUCUCACCCAUUCUUGUGUUUUGUUUUGCCAAACUAAUUUAUACAUGGAGUUUGAAAAUCAAAGUAAAAAUAUUUUACUGAACAAAUUUACACACAAUUUAUUACUAUGACAGUACUAUUUGAUAUAUUUAUAUAAUUCUGGUCACUAAAGAGAUGUUAUGACACUCUUAGUGAAGAGUAAAAGUACGUUUAUCCUUUAUCCUUUUAUUUUUAAAAUAGUUUUCAUUCCUUAUUUAUUUUAAGAAACUAAGAGGUUAAAUCUUGGUAACUUACGAUACCCUUGAUAAUGAAUUCAAUGUCUUUUAUUGUCAACAAAUUAAGUUUGCUACAUAUUAGUCAGAAGACGAGUUCAAAAAAAUAUAUGUCAUCAAUAAUUAUGUUUAAAAAAAAUAACCUCAUCGGCAUACUAAAGAUCCCGUGGAAUCAACAAAGAGACCAGAUCAAAAAAAUUUAUUGUAUGAAAUAUUUUUAUCUUAUCAUUUAUUCCUCCACCUAUCUCACCUAUAAGUUUUUUGACAAUUUUAAUUUCUUUCUUUAAUUGGUUUGUUCACCUGAAGAGCAUUAAACUGGACGGCAAAAAUAAAUAUGUCGCUUCUCAAUUAGCGGAGCAAAAUAAGUAAUGAAUAAUAUUAUUUUUAAGAAAAUUAAAGAAUUGAAGAAGAAAAGAAAAAUACAUUUGCUCAACAGAGAACAAAAAGGAUUUAAAGAGUAGGAAAAAGGAAAAAAGAAUAGAGAAGAAUAGAUUAUUGAAUGAAAGUAAUGUUUUAUCUUGAAUAGAAAAAAAUUGUAACUGUUUUGGCAUUCAUUUCUUUUAUUUAAGAAAAUAUUACUCCCUCUAAUUCAAUUUGUUUGGCUUAUUUUUAUUUUUUUCAUAUUAAAAAGAAUGAAUCUUUCUUUUUUUUAGGAACAGUUUGAUUUGAAUUUUUCGCACUGUCAUAUUUAAGAUCACAAGAUCAAAGAGAAUUUUGGAAUAUUUGAUAUAUCAUUAAUUUAAUAUCUAAAGAUUUAAAAAUUAUUCUUUACUUUCUUCAACUUCAUGCGAAUACAAAAUAUCAACAAAUUGAGACAAACAACGUAUGUAAGUAAAUUGUUGUAUUAUGAAAUGAAAAUAAAAUGAAAUACAUAUAUUACAAAGAAAAUAAAAUAGUUACAUACAAGCACAUAUAUUUAUGUCCGUGCGAAGUGCGGAUAUUUUUACUAAUGACUAAAUAGAAUAAGUUAAUUAAACAAGAGAUAAGAAGUAAGACGUUACUCAAUAACUCAAAAACUCUUGAAUUUUCACUAUAUGAAAGCUACUUCACAACCUAAGAGAAUAGGUAGAAAAAACUCCUAUUUAUAAUAGUACAUAAUCCAAUUGAACUAAAACAAAAAA